GCGAGAAAACUUUGCAAUGUGCGAAAGCACGACAAGGUUAAUCCGAGUGGUUUCUGCUAAAGAAACCUUUUGUCAGUCCUAGAAACACUAACGAAUAAGGGGUGGGCAAGUUCUGGUGUCAGCCGCCGCGGUAAAACCAGCACCUCAAGUGGUCAGGAUGAUUAUUGGGCCUAAAGCAUCCGUAGCUCGUUUUGUAAGUUUUCGGUUAAAUCCAUGCGCUUAACGUAUGGGCUGUCGGGAAUACUGCAUAACUAGGAAGUGGGAGAGGUAGACGGUACUCGGUAGGAAGGGGUAAAAUCCUUUGAUCUAUUGAUGACCACCUGUGGCGAAGGCGGUCUACCAGAACACGUUCGACGGUGAGGGAUGAAAGCUGGGGGAGCAAACCGGAUUAGAUACCCAAGUAGUCCCUGAGCGGGCUGGCAAGGCGCAU
This 430-nucleotide ribosomal RNA is filed under the name uncultured bacterium. Its description in RNAcentral is "bacterial SSU rRNA". It matches the Rfam family "Archaeal small subunit ribosomal RNA", at positions 339 to 776 of the family's 1478-position model. The record is from RNAcentral.